RNAcentral lists this unclassified non-coding RNA (1777 nucleotides) under Hevea brasiliensis (rubber tree). Lineage: Eukaryota; Viridiplantae; Streptophyta; Magnoliopsida; Malpighiales; Euphorbiaceae. The record is from RNAcentral.
UUCCCUAUACAGCUCUCAAUCUUAAGCCAUAAAGGUCCAUUGUGGAGCAUUUUGGGUGACGAAAUCUGGAUGGGUGAGAUAGUCCGAAAUCACAAAUACUACCCGUAACCGCAAGCCCAUGGAUAGCUCCACAUACGUAUUGGGCAUUUUGGCCUAGCAGCAGGCAGCUACCAACGUGUAUUUUGACCUCAGGAGGCCUCCAGCCAACAAAACUAAACCACACGCAUCGGAAUUGUUGGCGAAGUUUGACAGCGAGAAAUGGCUUCAGGUUGGGGGAUCACCGGAAACAAGGGCAGAUGCUACGAUUUCUGGGUUGACUUCAGUGAAUGCAUGUCUCGUUGCAGAGAGCCCAAGGACUGCGCUCUCCUGCGCGAGGACUACCUUGAGUGCCUCCACCACUCUAAAGAGUUUCAAAGAAGAAACCGUAUUUACAAGGAGGAGCAGCGUAAAAUACGAGCAGCUGCUCAGACGACCAAGGACGGUGGAGAUGGCAUUGAUAGCCAUCAUGCAUGACCAAUAAUUGAUCAUCUUUUGAAAUUCUAGUACUAAAGAACAUGUCAAGAUGUAUUUUUCAUUCAUCUGAUGCUGAUAUUCAGACUGUGUUCAAGUGAUUCUGCUUUUGUUUAUUUGAGAAUCGAAAUGCAAAUGUGGGUCUUUUUGAUUUGUGCAAUAACAUGAAGUUAUGUGUUUCAUAAAAUUGAUUUGCCAGGUAAAUGCAUCUGUUAUGUCAAUUGUCAAGUAAAUGGGGUUUCACAACGCACACAGACAUACAUAAAAACUGCAAUUUUCUUUUAUGGAAUUCUAGAUAUCCUUAUUUCAUUUUUUCCUUCUUAGCCUGGAUAAGUGAACCCUAUAUUACUUGUAUAUAGCUCCUCGGAGAUUGAACAAUGUUUUAUUUUCAUGAAAAAAAGCAGCAAGAUUGGAUGAUUAAGGUUGCUGACUGAUAAUUCCUAGCCCAGUGACCCACAAUUUGGAAGUUCUCAUAAUUUUGUUAUUAGUAAAUGUUAGUAGUUUUGCAUCAUUAGUUCUUGUCCUCAAGGCUUCUGUUUUCAAGUGCAAAGCAAAUGCAUGUUGUCAUAUUAUGAUGCUUGGAAAAUCUAGGUUUUGGUAUAGAGAUUCUGACUUGUGUUUAUGCUCAUAUUUUUUUACAGAAAGCUUCUGUUUUUGUGUGAAUUAAUUUCCAUUCCAAGCAGUUGUGCUUGCAUGAAAGAGCUCUAAAUGCUGCUCGAUUAACCAAUUCCUAGCGGUACCAUGUCCAUCUGAAGCACUUUCAAAUGCAAUGAAAAUGCAUGUGGAUCCAAAAAAAAUAGUUGAAGUUUCUCUAUUGUUGCUAAAACUUGAUUCCCUGUCAAAUUCUAAUUGUGGAUUCUCUGCUAAUCUGUAAGAAACUGGUUUCCUAGUUUGAAACAUUAGACAAAUGCGUCAUCUACAUACUACUUACUACAGGUUGGUAUAUCACCGAUUUGAGAAUACGGAUCCUGGGAAUGAAUGGGUGAGGAUAUGAUUAGACGUGAAGCUGGUUUGGCUUGUAAGUGUAUAAAUCUCAUCCGAUUCCUUAUAAGAUUUCAUGAAAAUUCAAGAACAAAAGAAGCAUAACCUUCAUAUGUCAAAUGAAAAUAUUGGAAAUUACUGACUUUUUUGUUAAAAUAAUACGGAUUUAAUUCAAAAUUACCAUAUAUGUAUAUAAAUGUUGUAUUGUAUCAUAUUAGAAUUACCAUUUGUCUUUUAAAUAUUACUCUGUUACGGAAUCAUAUAUUCAUAAAAAGAAAGCGAAAAU